RNAcentral lists this long non-coding RNA (364 nucleotides) under Mytilus galloprovincialis (Mediterranean mussel). Lineage: Eukaryota; Metazoa; Mollusca; Bivalvia; Mytilida; Mytilidae. The record is from RNAcentral.
GUUUUCUAAAUCAAUUGUGUCCUAUUGUCAUGUCGGUGACUUUUAAAGCCACUUGUAUGGUAUAGGUUUUUCUCAUUGUUUAAGGCCUAACAUUCCAUCCACACUGUGAAUAAACUCAUCAUAGAUACCAGGACUAAAUUUUGUAUAUACGCCAGACGCGCGUUUCGUCUACAAAAGACUCAUCAUUGACGCUCGAAUCCAAAAAACUUAAAAGGCCAAAUAAAGUACUAAGUUGAAGAGCAUUAAGGGCCAAAAUUCCUAAAAGUUAUGCCAAUGAUCCCACUUUCAUAUACAUUUAACAAAGAAGAUGUUGUAAGAUAUAAGUUUAAGAAUGCAAAUAUUUUAUUGUGCAGAUCAAUUUCAC